CGGACGGCACGGGUGAGUAACGCGUAUCCAACCUGCCCUUUACUAUGGGACAGCCCGUCGAAAGGCGGAUUAAUACCGUAUGUUGUCAUGUUGAUGCAUAUUUUCAUGACCAAAGGCUUCGGCCGGUAAAGGAUGGGGAUGCGUCUGAUUAGCUUGCCGGCGGGGUAACGGCCCACCGGGGCGACGAUCAGUAGGGGUUCUGAGAGGAAGGUCCCCCACAUUGGAACUGAGACACGGUCCAAACUCCUACGGAAGGCAGCAG
RNAcentral lists this ribosomal RNA (262 nucleotides) under uncultured bacterium. Its description in RNAcentral is "partial 16S ribosomal RNA". It matches the Rfam family "Bacterial small subunit ribosomal RNA", at positions 94 to 354 of the family's 1533-position model. The record is from RNAcentral.